Molecule: ribosomal RNA, 496 nt
Filed under: uncultured bacterium
Lineage: Bacteria
Description: partial 16S ribosomal RNA
Rfam family: Bacterial small subunit ribosomal RNA
Source: RNAcentral
AUGAACGCUGGCGGCGUGCCUAAUACAUGCAAGUCGAGCGAACAGACGAGGAGCUUGCUCCUCUGACGUUAGCGGCGGACGGGUGAGUAACACGUGGAUAACCUACCUAUAAGACUGGGAUAACUUCGGGAAACCGGAGCUAAUACCGGAUAAUAUAUUGAACCGCAUGGUUCAAUAGUGAAAGACGGUUUUGCUGUCACUUAUAGAUGGAUCCGCGCCGCAUUAGCUAGUUGGUAAGGUAACGGCUUACCAAGGCGACGAUGCGUAGCCGACCUGAGAGGGUGAACGGCCACACUGGAACUGAGACACGGUCCAGACUCCUACGGGAGGCAGCAGUAGGGAAUCUUCCGCAAUGGGCGAAAGCCUGACGGAGCAACGCCGCGUGAGUGAUGAAGGUCUUCGGAUCGUAAAACUCUGUUAUUAGGGAAGAACAAAUGUGUAAGUAACUAUGCACGUCUUGACGGUACCUAAUCAGAAAGCCACGGCUAACUACGUG